CUUUUUGAUUUUAAUUUAAAGUUUAACCUGCCCAUUGAAAAUUUUUAAAAGGCUGCGGUAUUUUGACUGUACAAAGGUAGCAUAAUCAUUAGUUUUUUAAUUGAAAACUUGUWUGAAUGGUUGAAUGAGAAAUUAACUUUUUUAAAAAAAUAAUUGAAUUUUACUUUUUAAUUAAAAGGUUAAAAUAAAUUUAAAAGACGAGAAGACCCUAUAGAGUUUUAUAAUUUUUAUUUAAUAUUUAAAAAGAUUAAUUAAAAUUUUAUAAAAGAAAAUAUUUUGUUGGGGUGAUAAUAAAAUUUAAAUAACUUUUAUUUUUUUUUACAUUAAUAUAUGAAUUUAUGAUCCAUUAUUGAUGAUUAGAAAUUUAAAUUACCUUAGGGAUAACAGCGUAAUUUUUUUUUAAAGUUCAUAUUAAUAAAAAAUUUUGCGACCUCGAUGUUGGAUUAAGAUUUAAUUUUAGGUGCAGCAGUUUAAAUUUUAAGUCUGUUCGACUUUUAAAUUCUU
This 504-nucleotide ribosomal RNA is filed under the name Pseudolycoriella robustotegmenta. Its description in RNAcentral is "partial 16S ribosomal RNA". The record is from RNAcentral. Lineage: Eukaryota; Metazoa; Arthropoda; Insecta; Diptera; Sciaridae.